Long non-coding RNA from Fukomys damarensis (Damara mole-rat), 637 nucleotides. RefSeq lists it as uncharacterized. Lineage: Eukaryota; Metazoa; Chordata; Mammalia; Rodentia; Bathyergidae. The record is from RefSeq and is a predicted model, not a curated record. The transcript is spliced from 3 exons.
GUUAUUUGGCACGAGGAUAUUAGCAUAUAAACUUUGUGGGCAGGAAUGUAGGAGUCACUGUUUGGCCUAUCUGUGACAUACCCUGUAAACUUGGUGCCAAUGUCUAAGUUUUUGUUUUGUUUUUCUUGCACAGGUGUGGAGGCUGACUUAAUGGGCUGUACAACCAAGUCAAGUAUUCUGGGAAUUGCUGGCCCUGCUUGCCUCAAGUGUCUGUCUUUGGACCAGUGGUCUGAUCCAGGAACUAUGUGAACUGUUUGAGGGAGGGGCACUUCCUACAUUAAUUCAGAAAUUUCAAUGGGAAGUUUCCACAUAGCUAAACGUGUGCCUGAACAGCCGUGGAAAUGCCAGUCUUUGGGGGAAGCUGGGCUGAGCCAAGUUCUGGUUCUUGACAGUAAGAUGCAAGGCUGAGAAAGACGUGCUUCUGGAAGCAUUCUCAAGGGAGCAACACAGAAGCAAUAGUGAAGACUAUCAGUCAGUGGUAAGCUGUAACAGACACUGUCGCACUCUGCCCAGUCUGCCUUUGCUAAAGGACUUGUUUCGGGAGCUGUAGGGAGUGUGCUUGGCACCUAGCUUUGGCAGCCAGUCCUGGAACAGAGAUGGCCUGGGGAGGUUCCAUGCACACUGAUCAAGGCAAGAC